This 491-nucleotide ribosomal RNA is filed under the name uncultured bacterium. RNAcentral describes it as "bacterial SSU rRNA". It matches the Rfam family "Bacterial small subunit ribosomal RNA", at positions 30 to 507 of the family's 1533-position model. The record is from RNAcentral.
AUUGAACGCUGGCGGCAUGCCUAACACAUGCAAGUCGAACGGUAACGCGGAGAGCUUGCGUCUCUGGCGACGAGUGGCGGACGGGUGAGUAAUACUUGGGAAUCUGCCCAGUAGUGGGGGACAACGAUUCGGAAACGGAUGCUAAUACCGCAUACGCACUACGGUGGAAAGUGGGGGAUCUUCGGACCUCACGCUAUUGGAUGAGCCCAAGUCGGAUUAGCUUGUAGGUAGGGUAAUGGCCUACCUAGGCGACGAUCCGUAGCUGGUCUGAGAGGACGAUCAGCCACACUGGGACUGAGACACGGCCCAGACUCCUACGGGAGGCAGCAGUGGGGGAAUAUUGGACAAUGGGCGCAAGCCUGAUCCAGCAAUGCCGCGUGUGUGAAGAAGGCCUGCGGGUUGUAAAGCACUUUCAGUAGAGAAGAAAAGCCUAGGGUUAAUACCCCUGAGUCUUGACGUAACCUACAGAAGAAGCACCGGCUAACUCCGUG